Molecule: long non-coding RNA, 1322 nt
Organism: Megalopta genalis
Lineage: Eukaryota; Metazoa; Arthropoda; Insecta; Hymenoptera; Halictidae
Source: RefSeq, a predicted model, not a curated record
CCUGCGCAGUGGAACUUGUAUCGGGGCACUAAGACAAGAAAUAUCGCGGCCAGCCAGGGAUAUUCGCCGCGGUUGAUUUUCUCACCCCCCGCGAUCAAGAAAUUAAAACCCGAAGCGUUGAAGCGGCCGCAUUCCUGUUGAGUAACGAAGUCCACCACGUGUGGAACAGGUUGAAUCGUCGGAUCUGGUCUGGGCGUUGGUAUUGACCAAGACGUCGGGGUCGGUUGAGGAACUGGACUCGGUCGAGGAACUGGGCUCGGUCGAGGCGGUGGAAAAGGUAUAACUGGAUCCGUAUCUGGCGUAAGGAUUUGCGACGGCGAGUCAGCUACAUUCGGAAAGCCUGGACCGAUGUUCUUGUCGUCAACGUUCAGGAGCGGGACACCCGGUGGAUAGAGGGUGUGAUUCAGAACGAUGGAUGUCACUAACUGUCCGGUUGCUGAAAUGAGAAAGGUGAAGAAGUGUUUACGUACCGUGUCGACCAAUACAAAUCUGAGCGCCGUUGAACCAAAUCUCAUUUAAAUUUGGUAGUGGAUCCGGAAGAGGAAAACGAACAUUGUACAUCAGGGGCCUGCCCUGUUCAACGGCUUUAACCGAUCUAUCUCUCGACUGCGCCAAUUGCAGUCGGCCGACAUAUUUCUGAAAUUCAAUAACAAACGUCGAUGAUUACUUUAUUGAAAUGACAUUAUCGGAAAUGACUGCUUUUACAGAAACAGAAUGCCCAAAUUCAGGUUCAAAAUGAAGCCUUGUUAGACGAUCAAGUGAAUCGCACAAGUCAAAAAUUCACCCCAUUUUGAAGUGUUGCGAAAGUACGGAGUUCUCAGUAUUUUUAGCAACAUUGAAUUUAUAUUUAUUUCUAUUAAUCCUCGGACUGCGGUUACCGGGGCAAUUAAAAUAAUAUUAUAAUAUUAUAUAAUAUAUUGUAUUAUAAUAUAAUACAAUAAAUGCAAUACAAUAAUAUAAUACAAUAAUACAAUACAAGUAUAAUCUGCAAAGAUUAUAAAAUGUUAUGUUAACUCAUUAUCUAUCUGCGAUCAUUUUAUAAUUUCCGAAAGUUUCGUGAUGAAGAUCUAAUAAUAAUAAUAAAAUGAUCUAAUAAUUUCGUUUAGGAUUAAAAUGUGGCAGGAGAUUGUUUAUACAUUUCUCCUAACAAUAAUUGAAAAAAAUAACAAUAAUUGAAAAUUCUAUUAACAGACUUUCGGUAGAUAAAACGUUGACUAUAGCGUUAACUAUUUAAAAUAAACAUUAGUAAAUAAAUAUAAUCUGCAUUGCAUCAAACAGUUUUAAAUAAAAAUGUGCACGCGUCGAACGUUUUAUUUCCAUCA